RNAcentral lists this ribosomal RNA (346 nucleotides) under uncultured eukaryote. RNAcentral's name for it is "SSU rRNA". It matches the Rfam family "Eukaryotic small subunit ribosomal RNA", at positions 594 to 945 of the family's 1831-position model. The record is from RNAcentral.
AUAGCGUAUAUUAAAGUUGUUGCAGUUAAAAAGCUCGUAGUUGAACUUCGGACCUGGCUGGGCGGUCGGCUUAUCGGCUUGUACUGUCUGGCUGGGCCUUACUUCUUGGGGAGCUGGUGUGCCCUUUAUUGGGUGCGUCGGUGAACCAGGACCUUUACCUUGAGAAAAUUAGAGUGUUCAAAGCAGGCCUAUGCCCGAAUACAUUAGCAUGGAAUAAUAAAAUAGGACGUGUGGUUCUAUUUUGUUGGUUUCUAGAGUCGCCGUAAUGAUUAAUAGGGAUAGUUGGGGGCAUUGGUAUUGAGUCGCUAGAGGUGAAAUUCUUGGAUUGACUCAAGACCAACUAUUG